CAGCCGCCGCGGGAAAACGAAGGGGGCUAGCGUUGUCCGGAUUUACUGGGCGUAAAGCGCACGUAGGCGGAUCGAUCAGUCAGGGGUGAAAUCCUGGAGCUCAACUCCAGAACUGCCUUUGAUACUGUCGAUCUCGAGUCCGGAAGAGGUGAGUGGAACUCCUAGUGUAGAGGUGGAAUUCGUAGAUAUUAGGAAGAACACCAGUGGCGAAGGCGGCUCACUGAUCCGGUACUGACGCUGAGGUGCGAAAGCGUGGGGAGCAAACAGGAUUAGAUACCCGCGUAGUCCCUGUCUCUUAUAC
This 301-nucleotide ribosomal RNA is filed under the name uncultured bacterium. Its description in RNAcentral is "partial 16S ribosomal RNA". It matches the Rfam family "Bacterial small subunit ribosomal RNA", at positions 509 to 807 of the family's 1533-position model. The record is from RNAcentral.